RNAcentral lists this ribosomal RNA (465 nucleotides) under uncultured bacterium. Its description in RNAcentral is "partial 16S ribosomal RNA". It matches the Rfam family "Bacterial small subunit ribosomal RNA", at positions 338 to 795 of the family's 1533-position model. The record is from RNAcentral.
CCUACGGGUGGCAGCAGUAGGGAAUCUUCCACAAUGGACGCAAGCCUGAUGGAGCAACACCGCGUGAGUGAAGAAGGGUUUCGGCUCGUAAAGCUCUGUUGUUAGUGAAGAAAGAUAGAGAUAGUAACUGGCCAUUCUGUGACGGUAAUUAAUUAGAAAGUCACGGCUAACUACGUGCCAGCAGCCGCGGUAAUACGUAGGUGGCAAGCGUUGUCCGGAUUUAUUGGGCGUAAAGCGAGUGCAGGCGGUUCAAUAAGUCUGAUGUGAAAGCCUUCGGCUUAACCGGAGAAUUGCAUCAGAAACCGGUGGACUUGAGUGCAGAAGAGGAGAGUGGAACUCCAUGUGUAGCGGUGGAAUGCGUAGAUAUAUGGAAGAACACCAGUGGCGAAGGCGGCUGUCUGGUCUGCAACUGACGCUGAGGCUCGAAAGCAUGGGUAGCGAACAGGAUUAGAUACCCUUGUAGUC